RNAcentral lists this ribosomal RNA (331 nucleotides) under uncultured bacterium. RNAcentral's name for it is "bacterial SSU rRNA". It matches the Rfam family "Bacterial small subunit ribosomal RNA", at positions 369 to 717 of the family's 1533-position model. The record is from RNAcentral.
ACAUGGGCGAAAGCCUGAUCCAGCAAUGCCGCGUGAGUGAUGAAGGCCUUAGGGUUGUAAAGCUCUUUUACCAGGGAUGAUAAUGACAGUACCUGGAGAAUAAGCUCCGGCUAACUCCGUGCCAGCAGCCGCGGUAAUACGGAGGGAGCUAGCGUUGUUCGGAAUUACUGGGCGUAAAGCGCGCGUAGGCGGCGAUCCAAGUCAGGGGUGAAAUCCCGGGGCUCAACCCCGGAACUGCCCUUGAAACUAGGUUGCUAGAAUACUGGAGAGGUGAGUGGAAUUCCGAGUGUAGAGGUGAAAUUCGUAGAUAUUCGGAAGAACACCAGUGGCG